Molecule: ribosomal RNA, 319 nt
Filed under: Acinetobacter baumannii
Lineage: Bacteria; Pseudomonadati; Pseudomonadota; Gammaproteobacteria; Moraxellales; Moraxellaceae
Description: partial 23S ribosomal RNA
Rfam family: Bacterial large subunit ribosomal RNA
Source: RNAcentral
GGCUAAUCAAGCCUGGUGAUAGCCGGUUCUACCCGAAAGCUAUUUAGGUAGCGCCUCGGGCGAAUACCAUAGGGGGUAUCGCACUGUUUCGGCUAGGCGGUCAUCCCGACUCACCAAACCGAUGCCAUCUCCGAAUACCUGUGAGUACUUUCCGUGAGACAGACUGCGGGUGCUGACGUCCGUAGUCAAGAGGAAGACAAUACCGACCGCCAGCUAAGGCCCCAAAAUCAUAGUUAAGUGGGAAACGAUGUGGGAAGGCAAAGACAGCUAGGAGGUUGGCUUAGACGCAGCCACCCUUGAAAGAAAGCGUAAUAGCUCA